GUCUUCCCCACGUCAGCCCACGGUCCUUUCACCUCUCCCCUUUUAAGCACACAAGCCACAGAGCUACUGUCAUUUCGGCUGACCCUGAGGGGGUCUCCUUGCAGGAUAAGCCAUCUUCCCCGUUUGUUGUGCACACCCUGCCGGGAGCGAUCACUUAUUCCGAGCUGCUAGCGCCGGGCAGGCAGCCGGGCGCGUCCGCUGCCCCCAGGCACCGCUUACACUUGUGGCUCGGUCAUUCCCGAUACCACGGACCAAGCAAACAUGACGGGCAGAUUGCAACUGUAAGAAUGUCUUUUCCACCUCAUUUGAAUCGCCCUCCUAUGGGAAUCCCAACGCUUCCCCCUGGUAUUCCACCUCCACAGUUUCCUGGCUUUCCUCCACCUGUGCCUCCUGUUCCUUUCAAAUAGGUCAUUACAGCCUUUGGAAACACUUGGUACACCUAGCAUUUGUGGUGUGAAAAUAUGGGAGCAACUUUCAGAGACUCUUUAACUUCGUU
This 496-nucleotide long non-coding RNA is filed under the name Apteryx owenii (little spotted kiwi). RNAcentral describes it as "lncRNA (ENSAOWG00000012650.1)". The record is from RNAcentral. Lineage: Eukaryota; Metazoa; Chordata; Aves; Apterygiformes; Apterygidae.